This 333-nucleotide long non-coding RNA is filed under the name Eucalyptus grandis. Its description in RNAcentral is "long non-coding RNA (EGRA_LNC003095)". The record is from RNAcentral. Lineage: Eukaryota; Viridiplantae; Streptophyta; Magnoliopsida; Myrtales; Myrtaceae.
CUCGUGCGGAGGAAGAUCCAGGCGUCGGACGGGACUGGCUUCGAGCUCCAGGCGGCGCGGCAUCGUCGCGGCGAGCUUCGUGGGGAGACCGCUGAAGCGGCUGUGGCGAACACACGGUGGCGGAAGCCUCGCGGAUGGAAGUUACAGAGGAGGAGCAGCGAUUUGGGGAAGAUGAUGAACAGUAGGGGUCAAAUCACCUCUUUACUUUUCUCCUCUCUCUCUCUCUCUCUCUCUCUCACGUCACUCUCCCUCUUCCUUCGCUUUUCUGCGAAAGCUUUUUGCUUUUUUCUUUUUCUCUUCUUUCCUUUUAACCUCCACGGAUGGCUUCUCUCC